RNAcentral lists this ribosomal RNA (229 nucleotides) under uncultured bacterium. Its description in RNAcentral is "partial 16S ribosomal RNA". It matches the Rfam family "Bacterial small subunit ribosomal RNA", at positions 568 to 796 of the family's 1533-position model. The record is from RNAcentral.
UGCGUAGGCGGAAUAAUAAGUCAGUGGUGAAAUCCUGUGGCUCAACCACAGAACUGCCAUUGAUACUGUUAUUCUUGAAUAUAGUUGAGGUAGGCGGAAUGUGUAAUGUAGCGGUGAAAUGCUUAGAUAUUACACAGAACACCGAUUGCGAAGGCAGCUUGCUAAACUAUGAUUGACGCUGAGGUACGAAAGCGUGGGGAGCGAACAGGAUUAGAUACCCUGGUAGUCC